AGCAUGAGAUUGGGCUUAAAGGGGGCGCAGACGGUUACUUAAGCAGGAUGUGAAAUCCCCGGGCUCAACUUGGGAACUGCGUUCUGAACUGGGUGACUAGAGUGUGUCAGAGGGAGGUAGAAUUCCACGUGUAGCAGUGAAAUGCGUAGAGAUGUGGAGGAAUACCGAUGGCGAAGGCAGCCUCCUGGGAUAACACUGACGUUCAUGCCCGAAAGCGUGGGUAGCAAACAGGAUUAGAUACCCUGGUAGUCCACGCCCUAAACGAUGUCGAUUAGCUGUUGGG
This 283-nucleotide ribosomal RNA is filed under the name uncultured Neisseria sp. Its description in RNAcentral is "partial 16S ribosomal RNA". It matches the Rfam family "Bacterial small subunit ribosomal RNA", at positions 553 to 827 of the family's 1533-position model. The record is from RNAcentral. Lineage: Bacteria; Pseudomonadati; Pseudomonadota; Betaproteobacteria; Neisseriales; Neisseriaceae.